AGCCUCCCAUCAUGUCCUCAAAAUGGGGCCCUGAUCACAUUUGUGAUAGCUGUAGUUUUCAUUGAAAGUUUAUAGCAUUAUAUACUGAACACUGCAUACAGCUAUUGAUAACUUGCGAGUGCAGGAGUAUUCAGGUACUCAUUGCAGCAAUAGUUCCAUGUUAGUUGCUUUUGUUCAUCUUUUUCCACAUUUGAAUACUAGUACUGUGCAAGCUUAGAUAUUUGGUAUUUAGUAUUUCCAACUAUUCUUUCUAAAAACUAUUUAUGUAUUGAAUUAUCUCAGAUGAAAUUGUGAUUGUUUAUUUCAUGACAUUUUAUGAAAAUACCGGUAUACUUAAAUUAUUUUAUUAUACUAUACUUUUGUUUCUUAACUGUAAGAUCUAAGUGAUACAUAAACAUAUUUUUAACAUGUCAGUUGCAAAAGAAAAAUAAGUCUGAACUAUGAUGGAAUAGUUUAUUUGAAAGUGUGUGUUUUUUUUGACUGAGGUUAUCGUAUUGAUUGUGUAUGUACCCGGUGCACAAUAACCAUCGCCUGGCAUCAGUGUACAUAUUUAUCCCUUGACGAAGGUGGCGGGAUAUUGUUUCGGCAUUGUCCGUUUUCCUGUUUGCUCAUCUGUUUGUCAUAAUUUUAUCAGAGGCCAUAAUUCAGUACUUGUUAGCCUGAUUUGGUUAAUGCUUUGUGUGACUGUACAUACUGAUAGUCAAAUCAUGCAUGCUUAAUUCCAUUGCAAUCCAUCUCCCCAUUAAUAGCCGAGUUAUAGCCCUUUUUGUAUUUAUAAAAAUAUAGGCAGUUUGUUUGUCCUGAACCAUGACUGGAUACUGGUUUUUACCGAGUUUGGUUGAAAAUUGGUAGGACUGUAUAUAGUUAUGGGCAAAUGACACAUGCCAAAUGCUGUCACAAUCCAACCAAUGAUAGUAGAGCCAUGGCUCUUUGUUAGUUUAAAAAUAUAGGCAGUUUGUCUGAGCUAUAACUCUGUACUGGUUUGCCAGAUUUGGUUGAAACUUGUAGUAUUGUGUAUGUUAAUGGGCAAAUGAAGCAUGCGAAAUGCUGUUGCUGUCGGCUCACUAAUAGCAGAGUUAUGGCUCUUUGUUUCUUUUUAAAAAUAUAUGCAAUUAGUCCAAGCCAUAACUCAGUCCUGGUUUGCUGGAUUUGGUUAAAACUUAGUAGGAUUGUGUAUGUUAAUGACAAAUGAUGUUUAUCAAAUAUCAUUUCAAUUCGUUCACUGAUUAUGGAGUUACAGCCCUGUGUUAGUUUAAAAACACUGUUUAUUUCUAUAAUACUGUUAUUUUUAUGAUUUUUUUAAUGAAUUUUUCACUGAGUUUGUAUGUGGGUGUCCUGAAAAGUUGGAUCUUCCAGUGUGGGGAAUCACCUGACCCAAAGUGGUACGGAACACGGAAAUCAACAUGGCGGAUUUUUGACUUUUUUACCGAUUUUCAAAGACAUGGCCAAACCUAAGAAGAAACCGGGUCUGACACUUGGGAAAAAGAAGUGGAUAAACAAGAAUGUCAGUAUUAAAGUAACUUUCCAAUUGCUGCAAUCCGUCAAGAAAUCACCAGCGAGAAAACAAACAAAAGGCUGCUUACGCCAUCUAAAUCCCCUCUGUACAACUCAUCUCCAGCAAAUUAAAAAUAAAGUGAAUUUGGUCACCUGUCGUUUCCAAAAACCAAUUUACAAUAAUUCCUGAUAAAGGUCUUCAAGAUCACUUUUUGGACAUGUAGAGGAAAAUAGUGAUACCAGAGGCGAUGUAGAACACUUCUUAAACACUGAAUUACUGUGUGAAGAAAUCACAUGUUCGAUACUGCAAGCAGAAAGAGACUUCCUGUGAAAAGAAAACAGGGAACUGUUAGUACAUCAAGGAACGCAGUUCAGAAAGGAGCUCUGUGUAUAAGGGUAUAAGGUGGGAGAAGGCUAGGACGAAUGAAAUAAAAUGCUAGUGAUGAAGAGGAUGGGACUGGACUGAGAAGUGCUUAUGAACGAGAAAAGAAAUAGUUACGAUAUCAGUACCGAAAAUUAAAGGAAGAUGAUAUAAAUACAACUGCAGUAAAGAAAACUUAUUUGAGUACUUAAUGUGAAAGGGAAUGUGAUAUAAAUCUACACUAAAUGAGAAGAAAUACGGGAAGUGAAAUAGAUACUGAGUGAAAAAAGAACCGAUGAUUUAAUAGUAAAUGGUAGGGAAAUUUUGAUAUAUUCAGUAAACAAUGUGAAAACAGUGUGAUUAAAAUCAUGGGGCUAAAAUUUAUGCAAAAGGACAUUAUGUGAUAUAAAUUGACAUACUAAAUGGGAAUAGAAAGACUCAAUAACAUUGAGAAAAAGAAAUUUUAGGAAGUUUUAAUUUAUUGUUGGAAGCUUGCUGUAUGGAUUCUUUAUAGAUAAUGAAAAUGAGCUUUGAUAGAUUUUUUGUCAAUUGAAAAAAAUGACAUUUGAUAAUGCUGUACGACAAUAUUUGAUUUUCAAUGUUAUAUCUAUAUUACACAUGACUAUUUUAAGCUUGCGCAUAUUGCUUUGUAUUGUUUUGUAUGUAAAUAUUGUGUAUGUAUAUCUUUGUAUGGAUGUAAAUAUUAUAUACUCUCUGAUAUUGGAGGAAGUAAAAGUUAAUAAUAAC
Mercenaria mercenaria is the source of this 2602-nucleotide long non-coding RNA. RefSeq lists it as uncharacterized. The transcript is spliced from 2 exons. The record is from RefSeq and is a predicted model, not a curated record. NCBI's taxonomy places the organism in Eukaryota, Metazoa, Mollusca, Bivalvia, Venerida, Veneridae.